Molecule: ribosomal RNA, 917 nt
Filed under: uncultured archaeon
Lineage: Archaea
Description: bacterial SSU rRNA
Rfam family: Archaeal small subunit ribosomal RNA
Source: RNAcentral
UUCCGGUUGAUCCUGCCGGAGGACACUGCUAUCAGAGUACGCCUAAGCCAUGCAAAUCUGCCCGUUGACUUCAACGGACGGUGUACGGCUCAGUAACAAGUAGUCAAUCUGCCCUAAGGACGGGAGCAACCUCGGGAAACUGAGGUUAAUUCCCGAUGCUUCAUCUAUGCUGGAAUGCUUGAUGAGGAAAACGCGCAGCGAAUUGGAGCUGUUGCGCCUUAGGAUGAGACUGCUCCUGAUUAGGUAGUUGGUGAGGUAACGGCUCACCAAGCCGAUAAUCAGUAGGGGCAAUGGGAGUUGGCGCCCCGAGAAGGGCACUGAGACAAGGGCCCUAGUCCUACGGGAUGCAGCAGGCGCGAAACCUUUACAAUGCGCGAAAGCGUGAUAAGGGAACUCUGAGUGGCAGCCGGCUUUUGCCGACUGUCUUUUGGCGAACCUAAACCGUUCGCAGAAUAAGUUCUGGGUAAGACCAGUGCCAGCAGCCAUGUGCAAUCGCAUAUUGCGCACGGUACGCGGUAAUACUGGCAGAACGAGUGGUGCCCACGAAUAUUGGGUCUAAAGAGACCGUAGCUGGUCUGUUAAGUCCACUGUGAAAUCUUGGGGCUCAACCUCAAGGCGUGCAGUAGAUACUGGCAGACUUGAGAGCGGGGGAGGUCAGGGGUACUUACGGGGUAUGAGUAAAAUCAGUUGAUCCUGUAGGGACCACCAGUGGCGAAGGCGCCUGACCAAAACGCGUCUGACAGUGAGGGUCGAAGGCUAGGAGAACGAAUCGGAUUAGAUACCCGAGUAGCCCUAGCAGUAAAUUAUGCAGACUGUGGUGUUGCUAUGGCUUCGGGCCAUGGCAGUGCUGUAGCGUAGUGUUAAGUCUGCCACCUGGGGAGUACGGCGCAAGGUUGAAACUUAAAGGAAUUGGCGGG